AGUGAACGCUGGCGGUAGGCCUAACACAUGCAAGUCGAACGGCAGCACAGUAAGCGUUUGCUUUUACGGUUGGCGACUGGCGGAUGAGUGAGGCAUACAUCGCCAUCUACUUUUUCGUGGGGGAUAACGUAGAGAAACUUACGCUAAUACCUCAUAUGAUCUACCGCUUAAAUCAGUGGAUCUUCGCACCUUGCGCGACUGAUUGAGCUGGUGUCGGAUUAGCUAGUUGGCGUGGUAAAGGCACACCAAGGCGACGAUCCGUAGCUGAUCUGAGAGGAUGAUCGGCCACACUGGAACUGAGACACGGUCCAGACUCCUACGGGAGGCAGCAGUAGGGAAUAUUGCGCAAUGGGCGCAAGCCUGAUGGAGCCAUGCCGCGUGAGUGAAGAAGGCCUUCGGAUUGUAAAGCCCUGUUAUUAGGGAAGAACAAAUGUGGAAGAAAACGCGGAUGUCUUGACGGUACCUGAUGAGAAAGCACCGGCUAACUACGUG
This 492-nucleotide ribosomal RNA is filed under the name uncultured bacterium. RNAcentral's name for it is "partial 16S ribosomal RNA". It matches the Rfam family "Bacterial small subunit ribosomal RNA", at positions 29 to 507 of the family's 1533-position model. The record is from RNAcentral.